GUGCCAGCAGCCGCGGUAAUACGAAGGGGGCUAGCGUUGUUCGGAAUUACUGGGCGUAAAGCGAACGUAGGCGGUGUUCCAUGUCAGAGGUGAAAGCCUGGGGCUCAACUCCAGAAUUGCCUUUGAAACGGGAACGCUUGAGUCCGAGAGAGGGUGGCGGAAUUCCUAGUGUAGAGGUGAAAUUCGUAGAUAUUAGGAAGAACACCAGUGGCGAAGGCGGCCACCUGGCUCGGUACUGACGCUCAGGUUCGAAAGCGUGGGGAGCAAACAGGAUUAGAUACCCUGGUAGUCC
This 292-nucleotide ribosomal RNA is filed under the name uncultured bacterium. Its description in RNAcentral is "partial 16S ribosomal RNA". It matches the Rfam family "Bacterial small subunit ribosomal RNA", at positions 505 to 796 of the family's 1533-position model. The record is from RNAcentral.